AUUGAAUGCUGGCGGCAGGCCUAACACAUGCAAGUCGAACGGUAACAGGAAUAAGCUUGCUUCUUUGCUUACGAGUGGCGGACGGGCGAGUAAUGUCUGGGAAACUGCCUGAUGGAGGGGGAUAACUACUGGAAACGGUAGCUAAUACCGCAUAACGUCGCAAGACCAAAGAGGGGGACCUUCGGGCCUCUUGCCAUCGGAUGUGCCCAGAUGGGAUUAGCUAGUAGGUGGGGUAACGGCUCACCUAGGCGACGAUCCCUAGCUGGUCUGAGAGGAUGACCAGCCACACUGGAACUGAGACACGGUCCAGACUCCUACGGGAGGCAGCAGUGGGGAAUAUUGCACUAAUGGGCGCAAGCCUGAUGCAGCCAUGCCGCGUGUAUGAAGAAGGCCUUCGGGUUGUAAAGUACUUUCAGCGGGGAGGAAGGGAGUAAGUUAAUACCUU
Molecule: ribosomal RNA, 445 nt
Filed under: Escherichia coli
Lineage: Bacteria; Pseudomonadati; Pseudomonadota; Gammaproteobacteria; Enterobacterales; Enterobacteriaceae
Description: bacterial SSU rRNA
Rfam family: Bacterial small subunit ribosomal RNA
Source: RNAcentral